This is a long non-coding RNA of Passer domesticus (house sparrow), 2167 nucleotides long. RefSeq lists it as uncharacterized. Lineage: Eukaryota; Metazoa; Chordata; Aves; Passeriformes; Passeridae. The transcript is spliced from 3 exons. The record is from RefSeq and is a predicted model, not a curated record.
GGAAACAGUCACUGGUGUUAGAAGGGCUUUAGAAGGAAUGUUCCCAGGAGCAAUUACAUGGUCUAAGACCAGGUUAGGUUUUCCUCUUGCCUCUGUUAAGCAAAAAUAUCAUGGGAAGAUUUUACAACUGGCUUAGUCCAGAAGAAGAGCAUGGCCAAAGUCCACAAGCUAAAAGCUAUGGCAGUGGGCUACAGGAAAUCACAGCCACAGCCCAGCCAGCAGCUGGAAAAAUACACAAAUGGGCUGAGGAAGACAUCAGCAUUUUAAAAGGUGAGGAGAGAUUGCUUCCUUGUCAAGGAUCCCAGUAUGCCCGUGUUCUGGUAAGUAAAUGUGCCUGAGUUUUGAGAUACAUGGCUGAGUUUUAGCUUGCCUGUUCCAUGCUGUAUCAAGUGUCUGUGUCAUCCUCACUCUGCACCAGACCAAAUUAAUACUAAAUAGGAAUGUUAAAGUCUCGUGGCCGCUGCAGACUGAUAGAUGGAACCAUCUGGUUAAUGGAGAUACCAUAAUGAAAGCAUUAGUUCUUAAGUGUAGUGUAGCACUGCAGAUAUUUUAUCAUGUAAAUGAAAAAAAAAGAGACCCCAGUGAGGACUGAAUUUAAACUGCUGUCUUUUUUCUACAGCAUAGGGAAGCAAAGCUGAAUUAGUCCAGGAGCUCACAUACUGCUGCUGUCAUCAGAGGAAGAAAUGCUGGGUGUGCUGGGAAAAAUAUAUAAGCAUUAGAAAUGGAAUAACUUUCAUGAUUUAAAUUACUUUUAUUAGGAGCCGAAUGAUUUGCUGAGGAUAUUAAUUUCAAAAGUCAGACUGCAAGAGAUCAGCUGAGAUGAAAGAUCACUGCAAAGUGACCUCAGACUAGGGUAAAAGAAAAAGAAGAGAGGGAGCAUGGUUCAGCUGAAGAGUUCAAUGCUGUCUAGCAGUGAACUGAAGCAGAUGCAUUUUCACACCAAGGGUGGUUUCCAUGGAACUGACUGCAGGUGUCAUCACUACAGUUCAGAGUCACCACUGUGGAUUCCAUUUAUGGUCAUGGAGAGAAGGGUAAGGGGGCAGCGAGCAAGCAAGUGGCUCUGUGGCAUUUACUUACCAGCUGAGCUUAAACCGUGACACCAUAUUAGACUGAGAACUGCCCGUUAUCAUGCUGAAAAGCCUUAGAGGAAAAUGGAAAUGGAAAAGGAAAAGGAAAAGGAAAAGGAAAAGGAAAAGGAAAAGGAAAAGGAAAAGGAAAAGGAAAAGGAAAAAGAAAAUACCCACAGAAAACACCAACCAAGUUUAAAAGGACAGUGAAAGGAACUACUAGACUUUGACAGAAGUCAUGUCCGAAUGGGAAACUCAGGAAAAUCUGGCAGUUGAAAAGUAGAUCUCUAAUGAUAUGGAUCAAAUACCUGUUCAAGUGCCAAGCUGCUAAUAAAAAACACUUUCAGGCACAUCCAAACCAUGAUGUCUGCCAGAAAUUCAGUGGAACUUCAAGUGAGAUAGUCAAGAACUAGAAGGAUUAGUCAGCAAAAAUAAGAAAAAACUUAGAUGAAUGCAGCUCAUUAAGGAAAAGGUGAAGGAGCCCCCUGAGACAGAUGAAGAACAAUCUCAAACUGAAAAGGUUUUGAAACAAAUCAAUACAUUGACAGGUAAGAAGAAGGCAGAAUGGCAACCAUCAAGCAGCUCUGCAGCAACUCAGCAUGAAGCUGCUAAUUUGUGAACUGCAAUGCAUCUGGUGUCAGAGGAACAGACAAUGGUCGGUAUAACUUCAGACUCUCAAAAAUGCUGAAAUCUAGGGAGCAAUAAUGCUAGUGGUUUUACUUGGAAAGAUCAGGAGGAACUGGGAGAGCAGCUGUGCUGGGUAGGAUUCCAUACACGUUUUUCCCAGGGAAGUCAUGCUUCAUGGAUGUGGUGGAGACAUCUGUAGGAUUGUACAAGCUUUGUGCAUAAGGGUGCUGCAGAUGGAAGAUUUUGUAAAAAAAAUUUAUGUAACUUCAGAUUUCUAAGAGAUACAAAGGUCAUGUUCUCACAGUUUUAAGCUAUAGGGCAGGAAAUGACAGAAAUAUUGGAGAACCUUAACUGUGGAAGGAAACUGCCAGUGGCCUGCCACAAGUAUUUGUACAUUGGAAUUAACCAUUCAAUAUGUUCCCCAGGGACCUAGCCAAGGCUGUCCAGCAGAUUGACAAAAGAAAAAAGGCAAU